Molecule: ribosomal RNA, 819 nt
Filed under: Cellulophaga sp. #19
Lineage: Bacteria; Pseudomonadati; Bacteroidota; Flavobacteriia; Flavobacteriales; Flavobacteriaceae
Description: bacterial SSU rRNA
Rfam family: Bacterial small subunit ribosomal RNA
Source: RNAcentral
AUGCAAGUCGAGGGGUAACAGGGAGCUUGCUCCGCUGACGACCGGCGCACGGGUGCGCAACGCGUAUGCAAUCUACCUCUUACUAAGGGAUAGCCCAGAGAAAUUUGGAUUAAUAUCUUAUGUGAUAUGUGACUGGCAUCGGUUACAUAUUAAAGGUUACGGUAAGAGAUGAGCAUGCGUCUCAUUAGUUAGUUGGUAAGGUAACGGCUUACCAAGACUUCGAUGAGUAGGGGUCCUGAGAGGGAGAUCCCCCACACUGGUACUGAGACACGGACCAGACUCCUACGGGAGGCAGCAGUGAGGAAUAUUGGACAAUGGACGGAAGUCUGAUCCAGCCAUGCCGCGUGUAGGAAGACUGCCCUAUGGGUUGUAAACUACUUUUAUACAGGAAGAAUAAGAUCUACGUGUAGAUUGAUGACGGUACUGUAAGAAUAAGGACCGGCUAACUCCGUGCCAGCAGCCGCGGUAAUACGGAGGGUCCGAGCGUUAUCCGGAAUUAUUGGGUUUAAAGGGUCCGUAGGCGGGCUGUUAAGUCAGAGGUGAAAUGCUGCGGCUCAACCGUAUGCACUGCCUUUGAUACUGGCGGUCUUGAGUUAUAGUGAAGUGGCUAGAAUAAGUAGUGUAGCGGUGAAAUGCAUAGAUAUUACUUAGAAUACCGAUUGCGAAGGCAGGUCACUAACUAUACACUGACGCUGAUGGACGAAAGCGUGGGUAGCGAACAGGAUUAGAUACCCUGGUAGUCCACGCCGUAAACGAUGGAUACUAGCUGUUCGGUUUUCGGACUGAGCGGCCAAGCGAAAGUGAUAAGUAUCCCACCUG